This 692-nucleotide ribosomal RNA is filed under the name uncultured Nostoc sp. RNAcentral's name for it is "bacterial SSU rRNA". It matches the Rfam family "Bacterial small subunit ribosomal RNA", at positions 72 to 804 of the family's 1533-position model. The record is from RNAcentral. Lineage: Bacteria; Bacillati; Cyanobacteriota; Cyanophyceae; Nostocales; Nostocaceae.
AACCUUUCGGGGUUUAGUGGCGGACGGGUGAGUAACGCGUGAGAAUCUGGCUUCAGGUCUGGGACAACCACUGGAAACGGUGGCUAAUACCGGAUGUGCCGAGAGGUGAAAGGUUAACUGCCUGAAGAUGAGCUCGCGUCUGAUUAGCUAGUUGGCAGUGUAAUGGACUACCAAGGCGACGAUCAGUAGCUGGUCUGAGAGGACGAUCAGCCACACUGGGACUGAGACACGGCCCAGACUCCUACGGGAGGCAGCAGUGGGGAAUUUUCCGCAAUGGGCGAAAGCCUGACGGAGCAAUACCGCGUGAGGGAGGAAGGCUCUUGGGUCGUAAACCUCUUUUCUCAGGGAAGAACACAAUGACGGUACCUGAGGAAUAAGCAUCGGCUAACUCCGUGCCAGCAGCCGCGGUAAUACGGAGGAUGCAAGCGUUAUCCGGAAUGAUUGGGCGUAAAGCGUCCGCAGGUGGCGAUGUAAGUCUGCUGUUAAAGCGUCUAGCUCAACUAGAUAAGAGCAGUGGAAACUACAUUGCUAGAGUGCGUUCGGGGCAGAGGGAAUUCCUGGUGUAGCGGUGAAAUGCGUAGAGAUCAGGAAGAACACCAGUGGCGAAGGCGCUCUGCUAGGCCGCAACUGACACUGAGGGACGAAAGCUAGGGGAGCGAAUGGGAUUAGAUACCCCAGUAGUCCUAGCCGUA